This 253-nucleotide ribosomal RNA is filed under the name uncultured bacterium. RNAcentral describes it as "partial 16S ribosomal RNA". It matches the Rfam family "Bacterial small subunit ribosomal RNA", at positions 524 to 776 of the family's 1533-position model. The record is from RNAcentral.
UACGUAGGGUGCAAGCGUUGUCCGGAAUUAUUGGGCGUAAAGAGCUCGUAGGCGGUUUGUCGCGUCUGCUGUGAAAACUGGAGGCUCAACCUCCAGCCUGCAGUGGGUACGGGCAGACUAGAGUGCGGUAGGGGAGAUUGGAAUUCCUGGUGUAGCGGUGGAAUGCGCAGAUAUCAGGAGGAACACCGAUGGCGAAGGCAGAUCUCUGGGCCGUAACUGGCGCUGAGGAGCGAAAGCAUGGGGAGCGAACAGG